UACGGAGGGGGCUAGCGUUGUUCGGAAUUACUGGGCGUAAAGCGCACGUAGGCGGCUUUGUAAGUUAGAGGUGAAAGCCCAGGGCUUAACCCUGGAAUUGCCUUUAAGACUGCAUCGCUAGAAUCGUGGAGAGGUGAGUGGAAUUCCGAGUGUAGAGGUGAAAUUCGUAGAUAUUCGGAAGAACACCAGUGGCGAAGGCGACUCACUGGACACGUAUUGACGCUGAGGUGCGAAAGCGUGGGGAGCAACAGGA
This 253-nucleotide ribosomal RNA is filed under the name uncultured bacterium. Its description in RNAcentral is "partial 16S ribosomal RNA". It matches the Rfam family "Bacterial small subunit ribosomal RNA", at positions 524 to 777 of the family's 1533-position model. The record is from RNAcentral.